This 223-nucleotide long non-coding RNA is filed under the name Capsicum annuum. RNAcentral's name for it is "long non-coding RNA (CANN_LNC004604)". Lineage: Eukaryota; Viridiplantae; Streptophyta; Magnoliopsida; Solanales; Solanaceae. The record is from RNAcentral.
UAGGGAGCCACCCUUAGAUGAUGUCCGGGCUUUCUUUCCUUUGUCUCUCUGCAAUUGGUAUUCUUCACUAUUCCAAUAGAGAAUAUACUGUUGCCAUAAGGGUUGACUAAUCCAAUCAGGUUGAACAAAGUUGGUUUGGGCAUAAUCCAACAAACCAUUAAAUCUGGAUCUACAUCUUCUGAAAAAGUUCCUCUUUAUAAGACAUGCAUUCGCAUCAUCCCAC